RNAcentral lists this ribosomal RNA (549 nucleotides) under uncultured bacterium. Its description in RNAcentral is "bacterial SSU rRNA". It matches the Rfam family "Bacterial small subunit ribosomal RNA", at positions 355 to 896 of the family's 1533-position model. The record is from RNAcentral.
UAGGGAAUAUUGGACAAUGGGCGAAAGCCUGAUCCAGCCAUGCCGCGUGUGUGAAGAAGGCCUUUUGGUUGUAAAGCACUUUAAGUGGGGAGGAAAAGCUUGUGGUUAAUACCCAUAAGCCCUGACGUUACCCACAGAAUAAGCACCGGCUAACUCUGUGCCAGCAGCCGCGGUAAUACAGAGGGUGCAAGCGUUAAUCGGAAUUACUGGGCGUAAAGCGCGCGUAGGUGGUUAUUUAAGUCAGAUGUGAAAGCCCCGGGCUUAACCUGGGAACUGCAUCUGAUACUGGAUAACUAGAGUAGGUGAGAGGGGAGUAGAAUUCCAGGUGUAGCGGUGAAAUGCGUAGAGAUCUGGAGGAAUACCGAUGGCGAAGGCAGCUCCCUGGCAUCAUACUGACACUGAGGUGCGAAAGCGUGGGUAGCAAACAGGAUUAGAUACCCUGGUAGUCCACGCCGUAAACGAUGUCUACCAGUCGUUGGGUCUUUUAAAGACUUAGUGACGCAGUUAACGCAAUAAGUAGACCGCCUGGGGAGUACGGCCGCAAGGUUA